This 459-nucleotide ribosomal RNA is filed under the name uncultured bacterium. Its description in RNAcentral is "partial 16S ribosomal RNA". It matches the Rfam family "Bacterial small subunit ribosomal RNA", at positions 338 to 795 of the family's 1533-position model. The record is from RNAcentral.
CCUACGGGAGGCAGCAGUGAGGAAUAUUGGUCAAUGGGCGGGAGCCUGAACCAGCCAAGCCGCGUGAGGGAAGAAGGUACAGCGUAUCGUAAACCUCUUUUGUCAGGGCACAAAGGCGGGGACUAGUCCCCGGAUGAGGGUACCUGAAGCAAAAGCAUCGGCAAAUACCGGGCCAGCAGCCGCGGUAAUACGGGGGAUGCGAGCGUUAUCCGGAUUUAUUGGGCUAAAGGGGGGCGCAGUCGGCCUGUUAAGUCAGCGGUAAAAGCCCGGGGCUAAACCCCGGCGAGCCGUUGAAACUGGCAGACUGGAGUUGGAGAGAGGUGCGCGGAAUGCGCGGUGUAGCAGUGAAAUGCGUAGAUAUCGCGCAGAACCCCGAUUGCGAAGGCAGCGUACCGGCUCCACACUGACGCUGAGACACGAAAGCGUGGGUAUCGAACAGGAUUAGAUACCCUAGUAGUC